This 1081-nucleotide ribosomal RNA is filed under the name uncultured Rhizaria. RNAcentral describes it as "SSU rRNA". It matches the Rfam family "Eukaryotic small subunit ribosomal RNA", at positions 577 to 1674 of the family's 1831-position model. The record is from RNAcentral.
CGGUAAUUCCAGCUCCAAUAGCGUAUACUAAAGUUGUUGCAGUUAAAAAGCUCGUAGUUGGAUUUCUGCGGGGACGGAGCGGCCGGACGCAACUUGCGUCUCGAGCUAGCGCUUUCCCCGCAUCCUGCCGCGAACCGUGCUACCAUUAGUUUGGUGGCGCUGGGGAUCGGCUCGAUUACUUUGAGAAAAAUAGAGUGUUCAAAGCAGGCCACACGCCUUGAAUAAGUUAGCAUGGAAUAAUGACUAAGGACUUCGGUUCUAUUUUGUUGGUGUUCGGGACUGAAGUAAUGAUUGAUAGGGACAGUUGGGGCGGUCUGUAUUCCAAAGCGAGAGGUGAAAUUCUUAGACCUUCGGAAGACAAACAGCUGCGAAAGCGUUCCGCAAGGAUGUUCCCUUUGAUCAAGAACGAAAGUUGGGGGAUCGAAGACGAUCAGAUACCGUCGUAGUCUCAACUAUAAACUAUACCAGCUAGGGAUCGGUCAACGUUUAAUUAUUCGACUUGAUCGGCACCUUAUGAGAAAUCAAAGCAUCUGGGUUCCGGGGGGAGUAUGGUCGCAAGGCUGAAACUUAAAGGAAUUGACGGAAGGGCACCACCAGCCGUGGAGCCUGUGGCUUAAUUUGACUCAACACGGGAAAACUUACCAGGUCCAGACAUAGUAAGGAUUGACAGAUUGAUAGCUCUUUCUUGAUUCUGUGGGUGGUGGUGCAUGGCCGUUCUUAGUUGGUGGAGUGAUUUGUCUGGUUAAUUCCGUUAACGAACGAGACCCCAGCCUGCUAAAUAGCGCGGCUGAGCUUUGCUCGGUGCGAGCUUCUUAGAGGGACUAUGAUGCGCGAUAGCACAUGGAAGUUUGGGGCAAUAACAGGUCUGUGAUGCCCUUAGAUGUUCUGGGCCGCACACGGGCUACACUGGCGCCUGCAACGAGCAUAUCAGCUGGCCCGAGAGGGUCUUGGCUAAUCUUUUGAACCGGCGCCGUGCUUGGGAUUGACCUUUGCAAUUGUUGGUCAUGCAACGAGGAAUGCCUUGUAAACGCGAGUCAUCAGCUCGCAUUGAAUACGUCCCUGCCCCUUGUACACACCGCCC